This 331-nucleotide unclassified non-coding RNA is filed under the name soil metagenome. Its description in RNAcentral is "partial contains 5.8S ribosomal RNA, internal transcribed spacer 2, and large subunit ribosomal RNA". The stretch from base 1 to 119 matches the Rfam family "5.8S ribosomal RNA", at positions 35 to 154 of the family's 154-position model. The record is from RNAcentral.
GAUGAAGAACUAGCAAAAUGCGAUAAGUAAUGUGAAUUGCAGAAUUCAGUGAAUCAUCGAAUCUUUGAACGCACAUUGCGCCCGCCAGUAUUCUGGCGGGCAUGCCUGUUCGAGCGUCAUUUCAACCCUCAAGCACAGCUUGGUGUUGGGACUCGCGUUAAUUCGCGUUCCUCAAAUUGAUUGGCGGUCACGUCGAGCUUCCAUAGCGUAGUAGUAAAACCCUCGUUACUGGUAAUCGUCGCGGCCACGCCGUUAAACCCCAACUUCUGAAUGUUGACCUCGGAUCAGGUAGGAAUACCCGCUGAACUUAAGCAUAUCAAUAAGCGGAGGA